This 757-nucleotide ribosomal RNA is filed under the name uncultured bacterium. RNAcentral describes it as "bacterial SSU rRNA". It matches the Rfam family "Bacterial small subunit ribosomal RNA", at positions 671 to 1429 of the family's 1533-position model. The record is from RNAcentral.
ACGUGUAGCAGUGAAAUGCGUAGAGAUGUGGAGGAAUACCGAUGGCGAAGGCAGCCUCCUGGGAUAACACUGACGUUCAUGCCCGAAAGCGUGGGUAGCAAACAGGAUUAGAUACCCUGGUAGUNCACGCCCUAAACGAUGUCGAUUAGCUGUUGGGCAGCAUGACUGCUUAGUAGCGAAGCUAACGCGUGAAAUCGACCGCCUGGGGAGUACGGUCGCAAGAUUAAAACCCAAAGGAAUUGACGGGGACCCGCACAAGCGGUGGAUGAUGUGGAUUAAUCCGAUGCAACGCGAAGAACCUUACCUGGUCUUGACAUGUACGGAAUCCUCCAGAGACGGAGGAGUGUCUUCGGGAGCCGUAACACAGGUGCUGCAUGGCUGUCGUCAGCUCGUGUCGUGAGAUGUUGGGUUAAGUCCCGCAACGGGCGCAACCCUUGUCAUUAGUUGCCAUCAUUAAGUUGGGCACUCUAAUGAGACUGCCGGUGACAAGCCGGAGGAAGGUGGGGAUGACGUCAAGUCCUCAUGGCCCUUAUGACCAGGGCUUCACACGUCAUACAAUGGUCGGUACAGAGGGUAGCCAAGCCGCGAGGCGGAGCCAAUCUCACAAAACCGAUCGUAGUCCGGAUUGCACUCUGCAACUCGAGUGCAUGAAGUCGGAAUCGCUAGUAAUCGCAGGUCAGCAUACUGCGGUGAAUACGUUCCCGGGUCUUGUACACACCGCCCGUCACACCAUGGGAGUGGGGGAUACCAGAAGUAG